Molecule: ribosomal RNA, 518 nt
Filed under: uncultured bacterium
Lineage: Bacteria
Description: bacterial SSU rRNA
Rfam family: Bacterial small subunit ribosomal RNA
Source: RNAcentral
GAUGAACGCUAGCGAUAGGCCUAACACAUGCAAGUCGAGGGGCAUCACAUGAAGUAGCAAUACGGAUGGUGGCGACCGGCGCACGGGUGAGUAACACGUAUGCAACCUGCCUUCAACAAGGGGAUAACCCGUUGAAAGACGGACUAAUACCCUAUAACACAGGGGUCCCGCAUGGGAAUAUUUGUUAAAGGACAACCGGUUGAAGAUGGGGCAUGCGUUCCAUUAGCUAGUUGGCGGGGUAACGGCCCACCAAGGCAACGAUGGAUAGGGGAACUGAGAGGUUUAUCCCCCACACUGGUACUGAGACACGGACCAGACUCCUACGGGAGGCAGCAGUGAGGAAUAUUGGUCAAUGGACGCAAGUCUGAACCAGCCACGUCGCGUGAAGGAAGACGGCCCUACGGGUUGUAAACUUCUUUUAUACGGGAAUAAAGUGCCCCACGCGUGGGGUUUUGCAUGUACCGUAUGGAUAAGGAUCGGCUAACUCCGUGCCAGCAGCCGCGGUAAGUCAUUAUCGA